This 77-nucleotide transfer RNA is filed under the name Ensifer meliloti. Its description in RNAcentral is "Sinorhizobium meliloti tRNA-Met". It matches the Rfam family "tRNA". Rfam says of the family: Transfer RNA (tRNA) molecules are approximately 80 nucleotides in length. Their secondary structure includes four short double-helical elements and three loops (D, anti-codon, and T loops). Lineage: Bacteria; Pseudomonadati; Pseudomonadota; Alphaproteobacteria; Hyphomicrobiales; Rhizobiaceae. The record is from RNAcentral.
GCCGACGUAGAGCAGCUCGGUAGCUAGCCAGCCUCAUAAGCUGGAGGCCGCAGGUUCGAAUCCUGUCGCCGCAACCA